Molecule: ribosomal RNA, 510 nt
Filed under: uncultured bacterium
Lineage: Bacteria
Description: bacterial SSU rRNA
Rfam family: Bacterial small subunit ribosomal RNA
Source: RNAcentral
AGGGUUUGAUCAUGGCUCAGGACGAACGCUGGCGGUGCGCCUUAUGCAUGCAAGUUGAGCGAAGCUUUUUUGUAGUUUACUACGAAAAAUGACUGAGCGGCGAACGGGUGAGUAACGCGUGAGCAAUCUACCUUAGUUACUGGGAUAGCCCGAGGAAACUCGGAUUAAUACCGGAUAUUCUUAUUUUUUCACAUGAAGUUUUAAGGAAAGGUCAGCCGAACUAAGAUGAGCUCGCGUUCUAUCAGCUAGUUGGUAGGGUAAAAGCCUACCAAGGCUACGACGGAUAGCUGGUCUGAGAGGACGAUCAGCCACACUGGGACUGAGACACGGCCCAGACUCCUACGGGAGGCUGCAGCAGGGAAUAUUGUGCAAUGAGCGAAAGCUUGACACAGCGACACCGCGUGUGGGAUGACGGUUCUAGGAUUGUAAACCACUUUCAGGAGGGAAGAAAAUGACGGUACCUCCACAAGAAGACCCGGCCAACUAUGUGCCAGCAGCCGCGGUAAUACA